RNAcentral lists this long non-coding RNA (448 nucleotides) under Cicer arietinum (chickpea). RNAcentral describes it as "long non-coding RNA (CARI_LNC002890)". Lineage: Eukaryota; Viridiplantae; Streptophyta; Magnoliopsida; Fabales; Fabaceae. The record is from RNAcentral.
ACAAACUAUAUAAAGCAAGAUUUCGUAAAUGAAACUCCAUAAUGUCUACACUCAAAGAUUGACUACAAGACAUAGCCCUCCAUUAGUAGGAGAGAACUCAUGGAAAUUAGAAUUUCAAAACAAACAAAAAGGUAGAAAACUUCAUAAUGAAGCAAGAAGGCAAGCUUUCUUUCCUUUCAAAACUACCUCAUCGAGUGUGAUAUUGAACCUGUUAAAAAUUAUAAAAACCUCUUUUUUAAUCCCAAAAUAUCCCUCUCUAUAAGCUUUAAAUGGGCACGAAUUUUGUUCAAGUCCGGCAACUAAUGAGAGAGUUAUGGUCCUUUUAGUUAGAAGAUGUAUUGGGUUUUGACAGCAACGACCCUGUAGCUUGGGAAGUCCGUUUCACAUUGAUUUAAGUUAAGUUUGAUGAAGCUUAUGAAACACAAAAUUAUAGUAGUUUAUCUUAUCU